Molecule: transfer RNA, 76 nt
Filed under: Candidatus Woesearchaeota archaeon
Lineage: Archaea; Nanobdellati; Candidatus Woesearchaeota
Description: tRNA-Leu
Rfam family: tRNA
About the family: Transfer RNA (tRNA) molecules are approximately 80 nucleotides in length. Their secondary structure includes four short double-helical elements and three loops (D, anti-codon, and T loops).
Source: RNAcentral
GGGCCCGUAGCUCAGUGGUUAGAGCAGGAGGCUCAAGACUUCUUGGUCGUUGGUUCAAUCCCAACCGGGCCCACCA